This is a long non-coding RNA of Harmonia axyridis, 421 nucleotides long. RefSeq lists it as uncharacterized. The transcript is spliced from 2 exons. Lineage: Eukaryota; Metazoa; Arthropoda; Insecta; Coleoptera; Coccinellidae. The record is from RefSeq and is a predicted model, not a curated record.
GCGACCGUACAUUGUGAAAGCAAUACCCACAGCGAGACCACGCAAGAUCUUCUCGUGCUGACUUUCUUGCGCAUACUGAAAGAAGAAUAAGAGAUGUAAUCUAUGAAUUUCUUGGUUAGGGUACUACUUCUGCGAUCAAGGUCUGGCAAAUCCUACAGCUCUACAAAAAAGGUGAGGAGAUACUCACUCCAACCAUUUCCAAAAUAGCUGCAUCGUGCUUGGAGCCCAACAUGACCAUACCCAUGGCAAUACCAGCGGCUUCUCCCGUACAAGCAUCGUCUUGAUAUAGAAGGAACUUGAGGUGGUCGUAAAUGUCAUGACGAUGUGUACCCAUGGCUGCAAGACCCAACCCUAGGCAUCCUCCAUGCUUCACCAUCUACAAAAAGGGCAAAAUUUUCAAGAAAUUAAAUGAUGAAAUACA